GACGAACGCUGGCGGCGUGCUUAACACAUGCAAGUCGAACGGAAAGGCCCUGCUUGCCGGGUACUCGAGUGGCGAACGGGUGAGUAACACGUGGGUGAUCUGCCCUGCACUUCGGGAUAAGCCUGGGAAACUGGGUCUAUUACCGGAUAGGAGCCAUUUUUAGUGUGAUGGUUGGAAAGUUUUUUCGGUGUAGGAUGAGCUCGCGGCCUAUCAGCUUGUUGGUGGGGUAAUGGCCUACCAAGGCGGCGACGGGUAGCCGGCCUGAGAGGGUGGACGGCCACAUUGGGACUGAGAUACGGCCCAGACUCCUACGGGAGGAAGCAGUGGGGAAUAUUGCACAAUGGGCGCAAGCCUGAUGCAGCGACGCCGCGGGGGGGAUGACGGCCUUCGGGUUGUAAACUCCUUUCGCUAGGGACGAAGCUUUUUGUGACGGUACCUAGAUAAGAAGCACCGGCUAACUACGUG
RNAcentral lists this ribosomal RNA (465 nucleotides) under uncultured bacterium. RNAcentral describes it as "partial 16S ribosomal RNA". It matches the Rfam family "Bacterial small subunit ribosomal RNA", at positions 28 to 507 of the family's 1533-position model. The record is from RNAcentral.